Molecule: unclassified non-coding RNA, 250 nt
Filed under: Hevea brasiliensis (rubber tree)
Lineage: Eukaryota; Viridiplantae; Streptophyta; Magnoliopsida; Malpighiales; Euphorbiaceae
Source: RNAcentral
GGGGAGGUUAAAGAAUUGAAGGAAAAUGGAAAUUCUACACCAUGUAAAGAGAAUGAGGAGGGGGGUUUAGGUCCUCGAAAUGGGGGCGAGGAGCAUGUGGGUGAUGGGGUGGUUGAGCCUUCCAUUGAGGAACUUUAUGAGAAUGUGUGUGAGAUGCAGAGCUCUGAUCAAUCUCCAUCUAGGCAUAGUUUUGGAUCAGAUGGAGAUGAAUCAAGGAUUGACUCCGAGUUACGACAUCUUGUGGGGGGAG